This 695-nucleotide ribosomal RNA is filed under the name Neoscytalidium novaehollandiae. RNAcentral's name for it is "partial large subunit ribosomal RNA". It matches the Rfam family "Eukaryotic large subunit ribosomal RNA", at positions 89 to 801 of the family's 3401-position model. The record is from RNAcentral. Lineage: Eukaryota; Fungi; Ascomycota; Dothideomycetes; Botryosphaeriales; Botryosphaeriaceae.
GCGAGUGAAGCGGCAACAGCUCAAAUUUGAAAGCUGGCCCCCCCGGGGGUCCGCGUUGUAAUUUGUAGAGGAUGAUUCGGCGAGGGCUCCCGCCUAAGUCCCCUGGAACGGGGCGUCAUAGAGGGUGAGAAUCCCGUAUGCGGUGGGCUGCCUUAGCCACGUGAAUCUCCUUCGACGAGUCGAGUUGUUUGGGAAUGCAGCUCUAAAUGGGAGGUAAAUUUCUUCUAAAGCUAAAUACCGGCCAGAGACCGAUAGCGCACAAGUAGAGUGAUCGAAAGAUGAAAAGCACUUUGGAAAGAGAGUUAAAAAGUACGUGAAAUUGUUGAAAGGGAAGCGCUUGCAGCCAGACUUGUCCGCAGUUGCUCAGCCGGUCUCCUGACCGGCGCACUCUUCUGCGGCCAGGCCAGCAUCAGUUCGGGCGGUCGGAUAAAGGCCCCGGGAACGUAGCUCCUCUCGGGGAGUGUUAUAGCCCGGGGUGGAAUGCGGCCAGCCCGGACUGAGGAUCUCGCUUCGGCUAGGAUGCUGGCGUAAUGGCUGUAAGCGGCCCGUCUUGAAACACGGACCAAGGAGUCUAACAUCUAUGCGAGUGUUUGGGUGUCAAACCCAUGCGCGUAAUGAAAGUGAACGGAGGUGGGAACCCUCGCGGGUGCACCAUCGACCGAUCCUGAUGUCUUCGGAUGGAUUUGAGUAAGAGC